GGAGAGUAACGCGUGGAUACCUACCCCCUGGACCGGGAUAGCGGUGAGAAAUCGCCGGUAAUACCGGAUAACGUCUCCGGACCAAAGGUGUGAUUCCGCCGGGGGAUGAGUCCGCGUCCUAUUAGCUUGUUGGUGGGGUAAUGGCCUACCAAGGCUGGGAUGGGUACCGGGUGUGAGAGCAUGGCCCGGCUCACUGGGACUGAGACACUGCCCAGACACCUACGGGUGGCUGCAGUCNAGAAUCUUCGGCAAUGGGCGCAAGCCUGACCGAGCGACGCCGCGUGCGGGAUGAAGGCCUUCGGGUUGUAAACCGCUGUCAGAGGGGAGGAAAUGCAUGGGGGUUCUCUCUCAUGUUUGACCUAUCCUCAGAGGAAGUACGGGCUAAGUUCGUGCCAGCAGCCGCGGUAAUACGAACCGUACGAACGUUAUUCGGAAUCACUGGGCUUAAAGAGUGCGUAGGCGGCUUGGCAAGUUGGGUGUGAAAUCCCUCGGCUCAACCGAGGAACUGCGCUCAAAACUGCCAGGCUUGAGAGAGAUAGAGGUGAGCGGAACUAAUGGUGGAGCGGUGAAAUGCGUUGAUAUCAUUAGGAACACCGGUGGCGAAAGCGGCUCACUGGGUCUUUUCUGACGCUGAGGUACGAAAGCUAGGGGA
RNAcentral lists this ribosomal RNA (652 nucleotides) under uncultured bacterium. RNAcentral describes it as "bacterial SSU rRNA". It matches the Rfam family "Bacterial small subunit ribosomal RNA", at positions 105 to 767 of the family's 1533-position model. The record is from RNAcentral.